AGAUCCUGGAGGCAACUCCUGUCUACUGUUCCUGUUGCAGAGGGACCAACUCAGUUAGAAACACUGUUUUCGUGAGUGACAUCCCAUCUGUGGCCCCACCAACUAUUGUCCACUAAGGACAACUAUGGAUCCUCUGUCAAUUAAGGGAAUUUCGAUCUCAGCUUUCUCAGGUCUGCUCAAGGUUGCAGGCGUAAGCGUGUCCGCACCUGCAUGGGUUGUUCCAUUUCUGUGUAGUGCUGUUGUAGUUGCGAGUGCUGCAUAUAUCGCUCACAAAGUUAAGAAACCUACAAAGAAGGAUUCCUGAGUGGCCCAUGAUGCACAGCAGGAUGUUGCUGGACACAGUCAGGAUCAAACCCCGAAAUUGACAGUGUUUCUAUGAGUAGUCCCAAUAAUCAAUAACAGUCGAUGAUCAAUAGUUGUUCUACUAAUGGCACUUUUGUAGUUGGAUGGACCUUGUAUGCCUGUUAUUUUCAUAUGUACAAUCUUCCCAGUGCUUUGUUAUAUUUUACCGUUUUCCUAAUUAAAUAUCUAGAUUAAUGAGUAAGCUGUCAUGUCU
Molecule: long non-coding RNA, 556 nt
Organism: Sceloporus undulatus (fence lizard)
Lineage: Eukaryota; Metazoa; Chordata; Lepidosauria; Squamata; Phrynosomatidae
Exons: 3
Source: RefSeq, a predicted model, not a curated record